AUAAACACACACAUACACAAACACACACACACACACUCACACUCACACUCACACUUCCUCCUCUAUAGUGUUGCUCGUAUGUUCAUGAGUUUAGGGCUUACCUACUAAGAACUGGACAAACUAUUAGGAAUCUCAUGCCUGGAGAAAACGGAUUCUCCAUUCUCAGCAGCCAUUGGUUGACUAUGGUCUUCAUCUAGGGGUGGGACUUGUGAACAGCCCCAUCUGUGCUGCUGUGGUGUCCACUGGCACUGUCAUCAUGCAGGUUGUCUGGACAAGCAUAAUUUUUGGACGUCAUGGUUGGAACUGCCUGCCGCGAUCAGAAGAAACUAUCUUGUAGCCAGUGUGCUGGCCCCAUGGCUUCUAUGCCCUUCCUGGAUCCUCUUCUAUGACAUUUCUUGAGCUUAGGAAUAGGGGUUGCAUUGUUGAUGAAACACCAUAGAAGUGUUUUGUGUCAUCUCAAAAGACUCAUGUAGGACAGACCUGAGGUAAAACCACCUGCUUCCUGAUGUCUGUUUCUGUAUUUCUUUCACAUUUUCUUUUGUUUAAAGCAAAACAAAAUGUUUUUGAAAGACAACUGUAGAGAUUACUGAGCAUAUUUUGUUUAUGAGGUGGCUUUUAUUUCAUCAUAACACAAAUCACAAAACUGUAUCAACGAUUGAAAAGCAUUGAAGGCUGAGUAAGUGAAACAUAUCCUCUAGUUGAGAAAGGUGAUGGGCAAGUUACUGGUUUAAACUUCAGAUUGACCUCCAUUUGAAAUACUUAGAUGCCAGCGCUCCCCCGACAGAUGGCUACAGGGAACCAUGUGAUUGUGAAGCCAGGCAUGGAAUCUUCAAUUGAUUGCUCUGUGACUGUAGUGAGCUCUUUAAGAAGAAUCUUUAUCUCCAGUCUUGACAAUGACACUGAAGAAAUGAAUCCCUGAAUUUUAGUUGCAGACCAUAUGAGUGCCUGUUGACAUUGUGACGUAACCCUCCUCCUGAUUACCAGCAACCUUUGUGAGGUAGCAGGUAGACCCUGAAUGUGAUGGAGAAUCAUGUGUGCUCGACUAAACUAUCCUGGUCUGUCCCUCAGAGAAGGGAUCUGAAGAAUGAGCCAACCACCAUACAAAAUCCUCAGACCCAUAGACGCUUCAGAGCAGAGUGUGGCCCACAACCAAGGUUUGGGCCCUGCUGCGGCUCAUUCUGCAUGCAAGUGGAAGACUGAAGGAGAGCCGCUCUUCAGGCUCCAUUAUGAAGUCUCAACACCGGUGAGCAACGUACCAUGCAACUGUGCAGAAUUAUGCUGGGAUCGCGCAAGGCACAAUCGAUAGUUUCCAGAAUGCUUUGCUGUUUAAAGUGCUUCAUGACUACUGUUAUGUCAAGCUUGACUGCAUGGAAACAAGCUAAACCCAGCAGAAGGGUCUUAAAGUAGGUCAGAUUUUUAUCACUGACAAUAGAUGAGAAAAAAAAACCUUCACUUUUCUAUUCUGUCGUUCUGCCUUCCCAAGACAGUAAGUUCUAUUGAAGUCUUAAUCAUGUCUAGUACCUCAUAGGGAACGAGGAAGGCAAACGGGUCACCACGCAAUGAUGACGUCUCCUGUCAGUACCAUAAUGACGAGGGGUUGAUCCACACCAUUGGGAAGAUAUUGGCAAAGGUUUCAGAAGAAUGUUCACAUGCAUGGAAUAGUUUCCCAAUUCGGAGAUCCCCUGUGGACACAGACAUAGAGUCCCUUCCCCUUUUUAACUUUCUCAAUAAAUUUUGAAAUGAUGCUUUAUUUAGCGUUCAUUUCACAUUUAUUUAUUUACCAUCUUUUUUAAAGUUUCUCUGGCAUUUGGGGCUAAAGACUGGCACAAUCCCUGGCCUGCCCAGCUCCUAGCCUGUAUCCAGCCUUCACAAAUGUGCCCCACAAGAACAAGUGAGGCUCAUCAAGCAGACGUAUGAAAUGCUCGAGGUUUUCUAUAAACUUUUUUUUUCCUGAUUAGAUAUAUUCUUUGAAAAUGUCACGAUUUAUAGAAUGCAUUCGCGUCAUAUCCCCACCUCGUUCAUUUUCCUCAAAUACAAGUGUGCUCAUAACACCGACGCUAUAAAAAAUGUUUCUCUAUUACACUGAGUUCUUCCGUAAGUUGAGGCUAUUUGUUCAUUCGAGUAAACGAAAAAUUUUGAAACAGUCUCACUUAAAAAGCAAUGAACAGAAUCUCCUUCGGUGAGGGACAUGGCUGUCUGGUGUCUUCACCUCAGCCUACGUUCCUGAGGUCAUGGGCUUCCUCCGUGCGCUGGUGUUUUAUAUUCAUGCUCUCCGCUGAGGAGCUUCUUUCUAAUGGCUUCGCGGUGCUUAUUUUGCAGUUCUGUCGGGGACAACUAAAUGACAUCUAGACUGGAGUUACAAGGAACCUUGCUUUCAGGAAAGCAAGUAGAAGCUCGCUGGAAAAUAACAGGCUCUACAAACUACCCGGUUAUUUCCUUGCUUUUUGUUUUUAGAGUCCCCAGCCCCUGGGGUAGGAAGACCCGGAGCCCUUGAUUCAGGCUCCGAGGACUCCGAGGCUGUGCCCACCAAGUACUGUGAAGCUUCGAUUCACGUGCUCUAUUUAUCUGCGGCAUGUACGCCAUUUUAAUCUAAGACUUUGGUUUAAUUCAGAUCUUGUAACCUCAGAGUGUCCCAUUUAUCUACACUGAUCUCCCAAUUCAGUCGGAAUUAAUCAACACUGUGAGGCUCGCAGAGAGCACGGUGCAGUCCAGUUCUCCCAAAUUAUUCACCAGUCCCACCUUUACUGUAGUGUCCCCAAAUCAACAGACUUCUGCCUUUGAAUCAGUCCUCUUUGCCACAGGCAACGGAAAACGUCGACUUGGUAGAAAUGCGAAUUGCAAUGGACGUGAUGAGAAGAUAUCUUCAUAACCACACGGCCUGAUGAGGCUCGAUGAAAAUGUAAUGGACAAUUUGGUCCCGCAGAGCAAGCUCCAUACGGACCGGACCACAGAGACGCGGUUUCUCUGCUACCUUCCUCAUCAACGGCUGUAUCUCACCAACAAGAGGUUGUAACCCUGGCUUUACCCUAAAUCCUUCCAUCAGAUCCACAAGGAGGUAGCCAGAAAGCCGCUUAAGUGGAGGGAGCGCUGCGUGUCAGCAGAUCAGAAGUGCUAAUCCGUAGAACCAGAGCUGUUCCAGGCACUACAUCUUUAUUGGCGUGCCAGGCCUGGCUGCAUGGAAAUGAGCUGAACCCAAGAGAAGGGUCCCGAAGUAGGUCAGACAUUUAUCAUCGACAGUAGAUGGGAAAGUCACUUUUUUAUUUGUCCAUUUAUUUCCCAGAGAGUAAGUUCCAUUGAACAUGAAGCCGGCCGUGAUUAUAAUAGCCAUUUUAUCUUCCAACUGAGGAGGAGGGCUUGGACACAGUGCAUUUACAGGCUGCUCUCAAGGCUCCCAGGGAACUUUCACAAACCACAUCCUCCAGAACGUGUCCCUGGUCGAGUUUAACAGUGAUUGGUGUCACCUUCUGGAACCCAAAAGUGAUGCUGUAACCAUUUAUGACAUUUAAGAGCCUACAUUCUUUCUUUGGGGUGUUGUGGGGUGGCGGUUGUAUGUUUACAGUAAAGAAACUACGGAAUUAGUUCCAAGUACUUUUGAAGUACAUCAAAGCCUAAGUUCUUUCAGGUUAGCAACCGUGUGUAUGUGUGAUCUGGCUUUCGAAGACAUAGCUCACGGGUGCGUACUUUGCGGAUAUAGCACACAGGCGCUUACUGUACAUCCAGCGGCUAGAGGUCUAUGACAGAAGUGAAUUUGAACCCCAUCUCCCACUGGCUUUGCAGCUCCGUGCAGCUCAUUGCACAGCCUGUGCUGUGGAUUUGCCAUCUCUGCAGCAAAGGGGACAAUGUGGCAAUUGUAACACUCGAACUUGGACCUUAAGAGGAUAAAAUAACAUUAUUGGCCUAGAGGACGUGGUUAACAAACACUGGAUAUCAUUGCUCCGUUAAAUUCUCUGGAGUCUGGAGGAAAUGAGCAUGAGGCUAACCGUCCCUUUAUGAGAAAUGCUUAUGGUCAUUGAGGCAGGACAUAGAAAUGCAGCAGGGAGAAUUAUAGAACGGCUCGUGUUCUGCUGGGUAGAAGUUAAGCUUAAUCAUGUGCCCAGUAAUGCAGGCAGCUGAAGUGCAGAACUAAUUACGUAGGACAGUCAUCGAGGGCUGCAGGAGUGGGCACAGCUCUGACUUCAUCUCGGAGGACUGUUCCUCAGAGAACGGAGAUUCAGCAGACCCCUCUCAGACAGGAAAGGGACAGAGCACAUCCGCGGUCUUGUCCUGUGUAUAUGACUGAGUGCGGUGGUGUACUGAAUUGUUGGAAGAUGGUUACCUUCGUGCACAGUGCUCAAGUAAUGAUGAUGGCAGACAACUUGGAAUAUAUAUAUGAAAAGAAACAAGUUGGGGAGUGUUUGCUCAUAAAGUUUACAGCUCACAAUAUCGGCAACAAGACAUCAAAGGCACAAUGGGAAGAUACUUUAGAAUCAGGACGUUGUUCCCCCACUAGUACUGACUACCUUUUUGUUUCUCUAGUGCAAGAAUUGUUUUCUGAAAUGUUUCUAAUCAUUACAGGAGGCCGCUUCUUAAUCCAGGGCACUUUAAAUAUCUCAGAACAUUAGUGGAAGACUCGAUUUGCCUGUUCAUAGACAGUAUUCAUAUACUGAAUACUAAUGCGUACACACGCCAGGAGCAGCGCUGUUGACACAAAGGCACGCAUCGACAGUGAGGAUCUCGACGUCAAGAAGAUCGAAGUGACAUUUCUAGCUCGGCGAUGACAGGCACCAUUGUGUCUGGAACCCACAAGUUCAGAUCACUGUGAGCCUUGCCCAUCUGGUUUCUUGUUGGCAUUAAGAUACAGUGUGUGAAGGAUGUUCUUGGAGAAUAUUAAAAUCCUGGAAGAAACACCACCAAGCUUCUGGCUUAGUGUGGUAAAAGACAAGCUGCAACCUGAUCAAGUUAUUCUGGAAAACAUCUGCACAAGCCCUAACUAUCUGUCAGAUACACAGGGCUCGACACAGCUGACUAGGAACAAAUCCUGCUCCACACCUCUGGUGUUUUUAUGGUGCGCCACCUCCCACAGUGUGCCUUGUUCAGUCUGUCAUUGCUUUCUGCAUGAAAACUCAUUCUGUUUCUCUCCUGCUGCUGGUGAGUAAACUCCCUGAUGCGUUUGCAAUUUAUUGUGAUCUAUUUCCCCCAUUCCAAUAGAAAUAAAUCUCACAAACCUUCUCAUAGUGACCAAAGUGGAAGACUAUAAAGAUUAAGAAUGAUGUCAGUGAUAAGCACAGGGUGGUUACUAAUUUAGUGGUGUGUGACACUAAACCUCUUAUUGGUAACAUUUUAAUAUUGGAUAUAUUGAACAAAACUUGUAAUCAGAAGCCGUUGGCAAACAGCACCCGUGAGAUAGCGCAGUUAGUUGGUUUCCUUUUUCUUCUGUGACUUAUGCUUUUAUCAAAUCUACUAAAUAUGUUUUUUGUUUUGCCUUGCAAACUAUGUUCUCUAAGCUGUGGCACAAGGAAUCUGGUGUGGAAGUCACAAAAAGAUGCUUGAUCUGUGAUGGAGGAGUAUCUGGAAGAAUUAGGAUCCAAUCACAUAUUUCUUCAUUCCUUGUGAGUUUUGCUAUAGUUCUGCUAUAGCACCCUCUGUCCUUCAUCAGAUAGAAUGACCCACACAGCAUGAACAUAUGUGAGAGUCAAUAUUGAUCGCCACCUUGACAAAAAGCCUCCUAGAAUGCCAAUGAGAAAUUACUAUUUACAUUAAUGACUGGUCUACAUCAAUCGAGGUGGGAAGAGGUUGAGAGCACAAGCACUCACUCCUCUCUCCUUUCAGAAUGCAGAUGUAAUUAUUCCAGCUGUUUUAUGCUCUUCACGCCAUAACAUCUUUGUCAGGAAUGAGAAGAGCCUUAGAUUAUGAGUUAGAUAGACCCUUCCUUACUCCCCUAAACAGUUGGGGAGAAAAGGGUUUGCUCAACUUACACUUCCA
Molecule: small RNA, 5961 nt
Filed under: Rattus norvegicus (Norway rat)
Lineage: Eukaryota; Metazoa; Chordata; Mammalia; Rodentia; Muridae
Description: uncharacterized LOC103693782
Source: RNAcentral